This 45-nucleotide transfer RNA is filed under the name Psychoda gemina. Its description in RNAcentral is "partial tRNA-Ser". The record is from RNAcentral. Lineage: Eukaryota; Metazoa; Arthropoda; Insecta; Diptera; Psychodidae.
NNGAGUUAAUGAGCUUGAAUAAGCAUAUGUUUUGAAAACAUAAGA